Long non-coding RNA from Coccinella septempunctata (seven-spotted ladybird), 1090 nucleotides. RefSeq lists it as uncharacterized. NCBI's taxonomy places the organism in Eukaryota, Metazoa, Arthropoda, Insecta, Coleoptera, Coccinellidae. The record is from RefSeq and is a predicted model, not a curated record. The transcript is spliced from 3 exons.
AAAAUCGACGUGUCCGAGCAUUUUUUCGAAAUAAAUUUAUUCCGCCCGUUAUCUCGUCUGUUUCGUUUUAAAAAGCCCACCCUGUAUAUAAAGAAUUCAGAUUUUAGUCCGGUUAUCGUCAUCAUUAUAAUCACUAGCACCAUCUAUGUUGGAAAACGAUAGUGUCAAGUUUGGUGACUUCCACGCUUUGAAUGAAUAUGCAUUAUUGUAGUCAGUGCGGUAGAACACCAAGUCCGGAUAUGUCUGUGGAUGAUGAGGUACCUUUUCUGAAAAAAGAUAAGGGAAACACUAUGUCCAGGAUAAAUUGAUGCGAGAGAAUUAAGACUGUAGUGCUUCAACGAUAAUUGACGGCAAUGUUUUGUUUUUAUUGAACAUUUUGUUCGUGUCUCGUGACUUGUUCUUUCAAAAUGACGAACCAGUAGCAUUCAUUCAGUUGUGGAUCUCCUGAAAACAUGUCAUUUCUAACGAUGUGUCCUUUCGGUGCAUGUACCUGAUUUUUUCAAGUAGUGAAUUCUUCAUGAAAAAAGAGGUUUCCAAUUAGUCAAUUGAAAGACAAAGUUUCAUGUUUGAGACAUUAAAAGCCAUUCCCAAUUCCCACAAGGUUCAUAUCAAGUUAACUUAAUUCAUUAAUGUUUUUGAUUUCAAUUCUUCAAUUUAUCUUUGAAUUCUUUCUCUAAUAAUAGUGUUGCUGAAAUUUCGAUAAAAAUAGUAAAUUAUAUCAUAUUUUAUCAUGAAUGGGGUCCUCAAUAGUUUUUUUGAUGAUAAUUGCAAAUUUAGAAAAAAAACUCUAAGAGUGUAAUUUUUCUUAAGUUGUGUAAAAAACAAUAUUAGAACUAGAGCAAUUGAUGAAGUUUUAAAACUCAACAGAUUAAGUAUCUCUUGGAGAAUUAUUCUUGCUACUACCUACGAAUUGAGCAAAAGAAUGUAUAAAAUAUUAUGGGGGAGAAAACAUUUACCUUGACGAAUUUGGAACUGGAAAGUUGGGAGAAAAUUUAGGAACCUAGCACGAGUAAUCUUCUAAACCCUAAAAUUUAAAUUGAAAUAAUUUGAAAAUCAAUUAUAUAUAAAAACUGGCCACGUGGUAUAUAUG